This 798-nucleotide ribosomal RNA is filed under the name uncultured bacterium. RNAcentral describes it as "bacterial SSU rRNA". It matches the Rfam family "Bacterial small subunit ribosomal RNA", at positions 8 to 796 of the family's 1533-position model. The record is from RNAcentral.
AGAGUUUGAUCCUGGCUCAGAACGAACGCUGGCGGCGUGGAUAAGACAUGCAAGUCGAACGCUUAUUCCUCGGUAGCAAUAUUGAGGAGUAGGAGUGGCGCAAGGGUGCGUAACACGUGGAUCAUCUGCCUGGAAGUUCGGAAUAAUUCGGCGAAAGCCGGACUAAUGCCGGAUGUGGUUGGAAGACUAAAGUUGGGGACCGCAAGGCCUGACGCUUCCAGAUGAGUCCGCGGCCUAUCAGCUAGUUGGCGGGGUAACGGCCCACCAAGGCUAAGACGGGUAGCUGGUCUGAGAGGACGACCAGCCUCACUGGAACUGAGACACGGUCCAGACACCUACGGGUGGCAGCAGUCGAGAAUUUUUCUCAAUGGGGGAAACCCUGAAGGAGCGACGCCGCGUGGGGGAUGAAGGGCUUCGGCCCGUAAACCCCUGUCAUUUGCGAACAAAUGUCAUGGUUGAACAUUCCAUGGCUUGAUUGUAGCGAAAGAGGAAGGGACGGCUAACUCUGUGCCAGCAGCCGCGGUAAUACAGAGGUCCCGAGCGUUGUUCGGAUUCACUGGGCGUAAAGGGUGCGCAGGUGGGUUUGCAAGUUUGAUGUGAAAGCCCCGGGCUUAACCCGGGAAUGGCAUUGAAUACUGCAGAUCUGGAGGAUUGGAGGGGGGACUGGAAUUCUUGGUGUAGCAGUGAAAUGCGUAGAUAUCAAGAGGAACACCAGUGGCGAAGGCGAGUCCCUGGACAAUACCUGACACUGAGGCACGAAAGCCAAGGGAGCAAACGGAUUAGAUACCCNNGUAGUCC